UACGUAGGGGGCUAGCGUUAUCCGGAAUUACUGGGCGUGAAGGGUGCGUAGGUGGUUUCUUAAGUCAGAGGUGAAAGGCUACGGCUCAACCGUAGUAAGCCUUUGAAACUGGGGAACUUGAGUGCAGGAGAGGAGAGUGGAAUUCCUAGUGUAGCGGUGAAAUGCGUAGAUAUUAGGAGGAACACCAGUGGCGAAAGCGGCUCUCUGGUCUGUAACUGACGCUGAGGUUCGAAAGCGUGGGUAGCAAACAGG
RNAcentral lists this ribosomal RNA (252 nucleotides) under uncultured bacterium. RNAcentral's name for it is "partial 16S ribosomal RNA". It matches the Rfam family "Bacterial small subunit ribosomal RNA", at positions 524 to 776 of the family's 1533-position model. The record is from RNAcentral.